RNAcentral lists this ribosomal RNA (467 nucleotides) under uncultured bacterium. RNAcentral's name for it is "partial 16S ribosomal RNA". It matches the Rfam family "Bacterial small subunit ribosomal RNA", at positions 28 to 507 of the family's 1533-position model. The record is from RNAcentral.
GACGAACGCUGGCGGCGUGCUUAACACAUGCAAGUCGAACGGAAAGGCCUCUUUCGGGGGGUACUCGAGUGGCGAACGGGUGAGUAACACGUGAGUAACCUGCCCUUGACUUUGGGAUAACUUCAGGAAACUGGGGCUAAUACCGGAUAGGAGCUCCUGCUGCAUGGUGGGGGUUGGAAAGUUUCGGCGGUUGGGGAUGGACUCGCGGCUUAUCAGCUUGUUGGUGGGGUAGUGGCUUACCAAGGCUUUGACGGGUAGCCGGCCUGAGAGGGUGACCGGCAACAUUGGGACUGAGAUACGGCCCAGACUCCUACGGGAGGCAGCAGGGGGGAAUAUUGAACAAUGGGUGGAAGCCUGAUGCAGCAACGCCGUGUGCGGGAUGACGGCCUUCGGGUUGUAAACCGCUUUCGCUCAUGACGAAGCUUUGUGUGACGGUAGUGGGUAAAGAAGCACCGGCUAACUACGUG